CCGGAGGUCAUUGCUAUUGGAGUCCGAUUUAGCCAUGCUAGUUGCACGAGUUCAGACUCGUAGCAGAUAGCUCAGUAACACGUGGCCAAACUACCCUAUGGAUCCGAAUAACCUCGGGAAACUGAGGCUAAUUCKGAAUAGGGUUCACUACCUGGAGUGGUGUGAACCUGAAACGUUACGGCGCCAUAGGAUGUGGCUGCGGCCGAUUAGGUAGACGGUGGGGUAACGGCCCACCGUGCCKAUAAUCGGUACGGGUUGUGAGAGCAAGAGCCCGGAGACGGUAUCUGAGACAAGAUACCGGGCCCUACGGGGCGCAGCAGGCGCGAAACCUUUACACUGCACGCGAGUGCGAUAAGGGGACUCCGAGUGCGAGGGCAUAUAGUCCUCGCUUUUCUGUACCGUAAGGUGGUACAGGAAUAAGUGCUGGGCAAGACCGGUGCCAGCCGCCGCGGUAAUACCGGCAGCACGAGUGAUGACCGMUAUUAUUGGGCCUAAAGCGUCCGUAGCUGGCCAGGCAAGUCUAUCGGGAAAUCCGCGCGCUUAACGCGCGGGCGUCCGGUGGAAACUGUGUGGCUUGGGACCGGAAGACCAGAGGGGUACGUCCGGGGUAGGAGUGAAAUCCCGUAAUCCUGGACGGACCACCGGUGGCGAAAGCGCCUCUGGAAGACGGAUCCGACGGUGAGGGACGAAAGCUCGGGUCACGAACCGGAUUAGAUACCCGGGUAGUCCGAGCUGUAAACGAUGUCUGCUAGAUGUGGCACAGGCUACGAGCCUGUGCUGUGUCGUAGGGAAGCCGUGAAGCAGACCGCCUGGGAAGUACGUCCGCAAGGAUGAAACUUAAAGGAAUUGGCGGGGG
This 856-nucleotide ribosomal RNA is filed under the name Haloterrigena sp. RNAcentral describes it as "bacterial SSU rRNA". It matches the Rfam family "Archaeal small subunit ribosomal RNA", at positions 17 to 874 of the family's 1478-position model. The record is from RNAcentral. Lineage: Archaea; Methanobacteriati; Methanobacteriota; Halobacteria; Halobacteriales; Natrialbaceae.